Long non-coding RNA from Oncorhynchus kisutch (coho salmon), 1992 nucleotides. RefSeq lists it as uncharacterized. The transcript is spliced from 3 exons. Lineage: Eukaryota; Metazoa; Chordata; Actinopteri; Salmoniformes; Salmonidae. The record is from RefSeq and is a predicted model, not a curated record.
AAAUCAUCAAUAUUUCAAGGAGGAACGGUAGGGUGGACCAGGCCCCCUACAGCCCGCCCAUAACGCCGGCCCUGCUCUGCUGUAUUUCAAGUUCACCCAGUAAAGGCCAUGUAAUGAGAAUUUACUUACAUUUUUUACAUAGAAAACAUUUGGCACUGAUCCCAACUGGACUGGAAAAAGGAUGGGUUGCCUGGGCAUGGUCAGCAAAGGUGUCGAUGAUGACUCCGAAGAUGAGGUUGAGGACGAUGAUGAUGACGAGGAAGAAGAAAAACCUGUGGGAAAUGUAAAUGGAUUGAUGGUGUUCAACAUGGGCAUUUGCAUACCUCUUUGGAUGGCUUCCGCAGAACAUCCCCCACACCACCUCCACUCCUCAGGCCGUGACUCAGGACAGUGACGAUACACAUGAGGAGGGAGUCACACGACCGCUCCUUGUCCUCAAUCACCACCGCCGACGGCUGGGUGGCUAUGGCAGCUACAGAGGGACAUCAGGGACAUUGUGUAUAUCCACAACAAAUCCAAUCGUCUAACUCACAUCUACAUUUCUCAUAUACAAUACCUCAUGUCAAAUUCUGUCUUGGGGGGGGGGGGGCGAGGGGACACGACGAUUUAGUGAAUUAGGACAAUGUUGUGCAAACAAAAGCUUAACAUCUCACUCCAAAUAAACCUGCAAAUCAACCCUACCACAGCCUGCUUCUUCCCAGCACAGGAACCACUGAAAAUACCAAAACCCAAAAUCCGAAAACAGUUCUCACAAAACAACAGGUCACCAGACUAGUGUCAUUCAUUUGGGUGGUGGUGAUGGUGGUGGAAGCCUACAUGAGGUUUGAACCCAGACACCGUCAGGCCUGACAAGGUCCAGAAAAGGUUGGCUCAGCACAUUAAGGCAGCAUUGAGGUCAUCUUUAAUUUGGGAGAUUUUUCUAAAGAAGUCAACAGUGUCUGUUAGAAUGCCAGGAUCCCAAGGAGCUGCCCCCGGCACCCUCUCAGAGCGAACCCGUCCUGUGCCUGAUGGCAAUUAAUCCCUAACCUCUCCUCCAACCUCCCUCUGGAUCCUGGUCCUCCAGUAGCAGACACACACAGCAACGCCAAACCUCUGUGAGCUUCCCCCAGCCCAGCCAAACCCAGCCAGGCCUAAACCCCUGUGAGCUUCCCCCAGCCCAGCCAAACCCAGCCAGGCCUAAACCCCUGUGCGCUUCCCCCAGCCCAGCCAAACCCAGCCAGGCAUAAACCCUAUGCUUUCCCUAACCCAGCCAGGCCUAAACCCCUGUGCGCUUUCCCUAGCCCAGCCAGGCCUAAUCCCCUGUGUGCUUCCCACAGCCCAGCCAAACCCAGCCAGGCCUAAACCCCUGUGCGCUUCCCCCAGCCCAGCCAAACCCAGCCAGGCAUAAACCCCUAUGCUUUCCCUAACCCAGCCAGGCCUAAACCCCUGUGCGAGUAUGGAAGAAAUUGGCAACGUCAACUACCGCCAGCGAUGUGAUACAGCUGCCUGGUGAAGCAAUUGCUGCCCAGUGGGAAGCACCUCACAACACCGUUGCAUUGGUCAUUCACACCGGCUUGUCGUAACGUUAGCUAAUUGGCAUGUCACGGAGAGAUCCAGAUUCCAUAGGGUGACCAAUACUACAAGUUAUUUCUCCUUUUCCCAUUGAAAUAAACAUCACAUUUUCUUUGACAAGUUUUAAGUUGUGCCAUGCUGUUGUUGCCAGCAUAAACUAGCUACCUGGGAACGAAAGGCUUAUCAGGACGACUGACUGAACAGAAUCCACCGACUCUCCGCUACACAACAUAUGUCAUCAAUUUGGGCACCAGGAGUGUCUGUAUAGCCUCUCCCAGCCCAGACAAACCCAGCCAGGCCCAACCAAGGCCUAAUCCCAUGACUGCCUCAUAGUACAGAUUUCUGUCUGAGUGGAAUUGUGGGAAGCGUCUUCUCUGGGGGAGGACUGGCGCAGGUGGUCUGUGAGGACACAGGAGAACCUCUUGACACACAUGCAAGCCU